RNAcentral lists this long non-coding RNA (563 nucleotides) under Phaseolus vulgaris (common bean). RNAcentral's name for it is "long non-coding RNA (PVUL_LNC002081)". Lineage: Eukaryota; Viridiplantae; Streptophyta; Magnoliopsida; Fabales; Fabaceae. The record is from RNAcentral.
UGGGGAGUGGUAGACUGGGUGGGGGUGAGGGUAGCGGUGCCUGUGCACUGGUGGAGGAGGGGAAGAGUAUUUGUAUGACUUCUUAGGAGGGGGUGGAGGAGAGUGGUAAACUGGGUGUGGGUGAGGGUAAGGCUUGUGCACUGGUGGUGGGGGAGAUGGGUAUUUGUAUGGCUUCUUUGGUGGUGGAGGUGGUGGGGAGUGGUAGAUUGGGUGAGGGUGAGGGUGAGGGUGUGGGUGAGGGUAAUGGUGAGGAGGGGGUGGAGGAGAUUGGUAGACUGGGUGUGGAUGAGGGUAGGGCUUGUGCACUGGUGGUGGUGGAGAUUGGUAGACUGGGUGUGGAUGAGGGUAGGGCUUGUGCACUGGUGGUGGUGGAGAUGGGUAGUGGUAGGGAGGUGGUGGUGAGGAGACUGGUGGAGGUGGAGGAGAGGAGUAGGAGUAGUGGUUGCCGGAGAUUUGAGAUGGGAGGCUGAAAAGGAUAAUGGCAAAUGCAAGAGUGAUAGAAGCAGAGGCCAUUAGGGACCCCAUUUUCCUCCAACUGAGUUUUGGUUAUGCUCUAAAGUGAG